AAUGGAAACCGGACACAGCAGUAGGGUGGACGCGUCAGGUUAUAAAUGACCCUGUCUCCUUUGUUCAGUGUACUCUCGUGGCAAAACUGCUGGCGAGUGUACCCUUUCUGCAGGAGGUAAAAAUUGCCUUACUAAAUUAAAUUUAUGUUCAAGUGCUAUUUCUUUAUGGCACUGGGGAACAAGCAUUUCAAACACAAUGAAUGAGAAAAAAAUAAACUGCCCACUGCCAUCUUCAGGACUUACUCCUUCCAGUUAAAAAUGUUGGUCCAAAGAAAAGAGGAAAAAGAAAAGAAGAAUAGAUUGUAUUUAUGCUGUGUUGUUGGUCAGACAACAUACAUGUGCUAUGUAAUCUACGGUUUCCUAGGACUUGUGUUUUGAGGAAAAGAUGGUGGCAGAAUGAGAAUUACAGGCCAAGGAAAAGCAAAAGUGUGAAGGCCUUGAGCAAGGAGGAGCAUGAAACUUCAGAAAUGAAACGCAACAUAUUCACAGCUGAGAAAGGGACUUUUAGGAUACAGACAACUUUGGAGGGCCAUUAUUCUGCCUGCCACAGAGAUAUCAUCCAUAAGUGACUCGUCUCUAAAAAUUAAAGGUAUGUUGUUAUGUACCCACAGUACCAGCAAUUUUUUUUAAAUCAGGAUCCAAAUAAGAUCUACCUACUGUUGUUUAGUUAUGUCACAUGAGUAAUUUUUAAUGUAUAUAAGGCUUAUCAUGUCCACUUUUUCUCAUGCAAUUGAUUUGUUGAAAAUAUCCAGUCUACCGUUACAGAAUAUACCACUUUAUGAAUUGUUUUUCUCCUGUUUCCUCGUGUUGAGAUUUAAGAUGUUCUUUUUGUUUUUAAUCUCAAGCUGGAGCUAAAAGCCAAAGGCGAUUCAAGAUUAAUGUAUCUGAGAAAAAUACUCGUCAGAAGAUCCAAUACAUUUCACAUUGUAUCAUAUUAGGAGACUCAUAACAUAUUCUUGCUCCAUUGUGUUGAAGUAAGGUUUUGCCAUUUAUUUAUAUGGUUGAACUUUGCCCACUAACAAUAGCCAUUUUAUUACCUCCACCUUGCCACCGCUAGAAAUCUUGGUGGAUUUCUAACACAUGAUCCACCCACCUAUUAUCCGAGUGUUUUCCCCACUACCGCAUUUAAUGACUCCUAGACAAUUUCCUUUUCUUAAUUUGGUCUUAUCUGAACUAUAUUUUUAUAAGUCUUGUUUGAAAUUUUUGGUUGGCAGAUGAUGUACUUGCCAGUUUCCCAGUACUGAUAUAGAAUCUCAUAUAUGUAUUUACAUAUAUGAGAAUACACACACACAUACACUUUUACCAUUUUGAGAGAGAAUGACUAAGUUGAUUAGAAGUUUUUCUGUAAUGAUUUGUAAAGAGAAAUGACAGUACUUGUGAUUUUAGUAGAUAAUGAUUGAGAAUAUAGUAAAAAGGCAGUAUUAGUAAAUCUUAAAUAUAUGUGAAUCUGUUUAAUUCACAUGUAACAUUCACAUGCUUUUUAAAAUUAGCAAUUCAUGUUAUACUAGACAUUUAAAUAUUCUAAAAAUGUUUGAUGCCUACAUGGAUUUAUGAACUCCUUGCAACAACUGAUGGCCCCUGCUCUUCAGAAGACUAAACUUCAGAGUAGAGAACACGGCUUUAAGGAAUAUGACUUCCAAUUUGGAAUUUCAGUGGGACUUAUUAUCUGAAUUAAUUCUUAAUCUCUAGGCUAUGGAAGUACAAUUGAAAAUUUGCACAUUAAUACUUCAGUGAUUCAUAAAAUGAAUUCCUUUUUCAGCAACUAAAUACCUAGAGGUGUAAAAUAUUUACCAUAUUUUUUCAAAUUAUCCGUGUUGUACUCAUAAAGGACUGUAUUUUCAAAAAGGAUUCAUUUCAUUAUUCAAUAAGUGUUUUAUUCAUCUUUGACUAUAUAUCUCUUAUUGUUAUAUGUUAGGGAUACAGUUGUGAGGAAAUAGAUAUUGUUAUAUUGUUCUUGAAUAUAGAACUUGUAGUUAUAUCUAUGAAAUUGAUUUUCUAUACAUUAGCCAGGAUAAGAUAGGAAUAAUUUUGGCAUUAAGGGAAUUCUGUUAUUUGGAACAGUUUUAGAGAGGCUGUGUAUUUCUUUUGACCAUUAUCUGUGAGUAACAGACACCAGUAAAUGAAUAGUAGCUUAAAUUUGACAAAAUGUUUAUUUUUGUCAUCUGGAGGAAUCAGUCAGUCCAGUUGCUGGUGUGGCUCCCUACCACCUAAAGAACCAACAGUUAGUUUUUUUCAGCUUAAACACUUGAACCCGUGGUUGAACCCUAUCAGAAUGAUCAAGGGAUAUCCAAUGGGAAUUAGUUACUAUAUAAUUUUGGAAAGAGCUGGGAAGUAAAUGUCUAGGAGAAAGUUGAGAGACCAUAGAAAAAGUAGGUAGAAAAGCCUAUGAAAAACCUUGUUUCUGUGUAGCUACCAUCUUUAUGGGUCUAUUGCCAAACUUCUGAAAGGGCCGAGAGCUGCUGCUGGUUAACUGGGGUGGGGUUUGAGAAGGUAGACACAUAGAAGAGGGGAGUGGGAGAGGAACCCACUGGCACCUCUGCAUCUGCCUGUGACAGCAAGUGACCCUGGUGACCAUCCAAGAAUAAGAGCUGCUGCCUAAGUGCCCUCCCUCAAAUGUAUUGUGAAUUCUUUUGGACAACUCUAACCCAGAACCAUGCAGAAAAGAUGAUUCUGGGAAACUAAACCGAAUUAACUUAAUAC
Long non-coding RNA from Pan troglodytes (chimpanzee), 2700 nucleotides. RefSeq lists it as uncharacterized. The record is from RefSeq and is a predicted model, not a curated record. The transcript is spliced from 4 exons. Lineage: Eukaryota; Metazoa; Chordata; Mammalia; Primates; Hominidae.